AUUGAACGCUGGCGGCAGGCUUAACACAUGCAAGUCGAGCGGGGGAAGGUAGCUUGCUACCGGACCUAGCGGCGGACGGGAGAGUAAUGCUUAGGAAUCUGCCUAUUAGUGGGGGACAACAUCUCGCAAGGGAUGCUAAUACCGCAUACGUCCUACGGGAGAAAGCAGGGGAUCUUCGGACCUUGCGCUAAUAGAUGAGCCUAAGUCGGAUUAGCAGGUUGGUGGGGCAAAGGCCGACCAAGGCGACGAUCUGUAGCGGGUCUGAGAGGAUGAUCCGCCACACUGGGGCUGGAACACGGCCCAGACUCCUACGGGAGGCAGCAGUGGGGAAUAUUGGACAAUUGGGGGAACCCUGAUCCAGCCAUGCCGCGUGUGUGAAGAAGGCCUUAUGGUUGUAAAGCACUUUAAGCGAGGAGGAGGCUACUCUAGUUAAUACCUAGGGAUAGUGGACGUUACUCGCAGAAUAAGCACCGGCUAACUCUGUGCCAGCAGCCGCAGUAA
This 501-nucleotide ribosomal RNA is filed under the name uncultured bacterium. RNAcentral's name for it is "partial 16S ribosomal RNA". It matches the Rfam family "Bacterial small subunit ribosomal RNA", at positions 30 to 523 of the family's 1533-position model. The record is from RNAcentral.